This 249-nucleotide ribosomal RNA is filed under the name Clostridioides difficile. RNAcentral describes it as "partial 23S ribosomal RNA". It matches the Rfam family "Bacterial large subunit ribosomal RNA", at positions 2476 to 2724 of the family's 2925-position model. The record is from RNAcentral. Lineage: Bacteria; Bacillati; Bacillota; Clostridia; Peptostreptococcales; Peptostreptococcaceae.
AACAGGCUUAUCUCCCCCAAGAGUCCACAUCGACGGGGAGGUUUGGCACCUCGAUGUCGGCUCAUCACAUCCUGGGGCUGUAGUAGGUCCCAAGGGUUGGGCUGUUCGCCCAUUAAAGUGGUACGCGGGCUGGGUUCAGAACGUCGUGAGACAGUUCGGUCCCUAUCCGUCGCAGGCGUAGGAAAUUUGAGAAGACCUGUCCUUAGUACGAGAGGACCGGGAUGGACGUACCUCUGGUGUACCAGUUGU